RNAcentral lists this ribosomal RNA (663 nucleotides) under uncultured Sphingobacteriales bacterium. RNAcentral's name for it is "bacterial SSU rRNA". It matches the Rfam family "Bacterial small subunit ribosomal RNA", at positions 8 to 667 of the family's 1533-position model. Lineage: Bacteria; Pseudomonadati; Bacteroidota; Sphingobacteriia; Sphingobacteriales. The record is from RNAcentral. RNAcentral also lists the same sequence under 1 other name.
AGAGUUUGAUCCUGGCUCAGGAUGAACGCUAGCGGCAGGCUUAAUACAUGCAAGUCGAGGGGCAGCGCGGGUAGCAAUACCCGGCGGCGACCGGCAAACGGGUGAGGAACAUGUACGCAACCUUCCUUUAACUGGAGGAUAGCCCAUCGAAAGAUGGAUUAAUACUCCGUAACAUACUGAUAAGGCAUCUUAUUAUUAUUAUAGCUCCGGCGGUUAAAGAUGGGCGUGCAACUGAUUAGAUAGUUGGUGAGGUAACGGCUCACCGAGUCAGCGAUCAGUAACUGGUGUGAGAGCACGACCAGUCACACGGGCACUGAGACACGGGCCCGACUCCUACGGGAGGCAGCAGUAAGGAAUAUUGGUCAAUGGACGCAAGUCUGAACCAGCCAUGCCGCGUGGAGGAUUAAGGCCCUUGGGUUGUAAACUCCUUUUAUCUGGGAAGAAAUGCAUUUUUUCUAAAGUGCUUGACGGUACCAGAGGAAUAAGCACCGGCUAACUCCGUGCCAGCAGCCGCGGUAAUACGGAGGGUGCAAGCGUUAUCCGGAUUUACUGGGUUUAAAGGGUGCGUAGGCGGAUAGGUAAGUCAGUGGUGAAAUCUCGGAGCUUAACUCGGAAACUGCCGUUGAUACUAUUUAUCUUGAAUACUGUGGAGGUAAGCGGAAU